GUUUAAUGAUCAGUAAUAUAGUGGUCGGCUGUAGGCUGUCACAAAAAGGAGGGUUUCCAGUGGAGAGGACUCAUUCACACGGAGCAACUUGAUGCCUUCAGCCAGCAAUGCUGAGCUUUCUUCCAGGUGAGCUUCAUCGCUGCAGAACACCACUAGGAGCAUGAUACAGAGGUGCCAGGGACAAUCUGCCAUUGGCUACAAUGAGUGUCUGACACAAAGACAUCCUCUCGUAUAUCCAAAAGUUCUUGCGGGAUUCUUUAACUUUUGUUGUUUGUUUAAUUAAACUGGCUUUGGACUCAAAAUACUCUCCCAUCCUUACACUAGAUAAAUAUGCAGGUAGCCAGCAGCAGUUAUCAUUUUUUUAUUUUUAAUUAACAUAACAACUGUACAUGUUUGUAGGGAAUAAUGUAAAAUUUCACUUAUACACAUAGUAUGUAAUGAUCAGAUCAUGACAGCUUGUGUUUCUACCACUUUAGAUAUUUAUCAUUAUUUAUAUCAGGGACUUUCAAAACUUUCUCUACCUGUCAUUUGAAAAUAUUUAAUUAGUUAUUAUGUGAAUAAAAAUUUGUGGAAAAAAACACACCUUCCACUGAACCUUUCAUAAAACUGAUUAAAUUAUUAGAAUUCCAGUAAUUGUAGAGAGGUUGGGAUGUUGCAAGUUCAGAAUAAAUUAUCUUGAGUCGUCUUUAGCCCCAGGUAGCUCUUUAUAACCUCUUCUGUGUGUGACCAUUAGAUAAAUCCUUUGGAAUGUAGGAACACAUUUCCACUAACCAAAUAACUUAGAAUAUCACCAGAUUGCAUCUGAGGCUUAUAGCUGAGGUCAUUGCCCAGACCACCCACUUGGCUUUAACCACCCACAAAAUUGUGCUCAUUGGUUUUGCUCAAGUUGACACAAACCUAGCUGCAUCCCAGAGGAGGGAAUCUGAACUGAGAAUAUGCCUCCCUAUGGUUGGCUUGUAAGCGAGCUGUGAAGUAUUGUCCUGAUUAAUGAUUGAUGAGGGAGGGCACAGACAACGGGAAUGAUGCCAUACCUGGGACCGUGGUCCUCACUGGUAUAAGAAAAAAAGCAGAGGCAGGCGAAUUUCUGAGUUCAAGGCCAGCCUGGUCUACAGAGUGAGUUCCAGGACAGCCAGGACUAUACAGAGAAACCCUGCCUCGAAAAAAAAACCCAAAAACCCAAAAAACCAAAACCAACCAAACAAACAAACAAAAGGCAGGCUGAAAAGGCCAGCCGGCAGUAUUCCUCCGGAACUUUGACAUGAGUGCCUGCCUCUAAGUUCCUGCUUUGAGUUCCUGCCCCACCUACCCUCAGUGAUGGACUGUUGCCUAAUACUGUAAGCUGAAAUAAACUCGUGCCUCCCAAGAUUACUUUUGGGAAUGGUGUCUUGUCACAGCACCAGAAAAGGAACUAAGAUAGAAACAUGCAUCAAUGUAUGCUAAAAGUGCUUUGGUUUGUGACUUCCGUUGUUCUCUUACUAGAAAACCUUCAUCGAACUGUUACUACAUUGCAACAUGGAAUUUAGGCAUAAUCUGUGUUCUGGGGACAUAGUCACUCAUAUUUAGCUCCAGAAUAAACGAUUUAUCAUCCCCUUCGAGGCAAGAGUUGUGGUUGUAAGUUGACAGUUGCCAGACUCAAACUGCUAUCCCAUAGGGUGUCCAUGGUCCAGCUAACUCUCCAGGUGCAUUUUGCUUGUGAGAAAAUGUAUUUUUCUUUCUGUGCAUGAUUUAUUUCACAUAGCAUAAUGUCCUUCGGUUCCAAUUACAUUGAUGCAAAUGACAAACUUUCAUUCCUUUAUGGGGAGAAUUCACUGUGUUUAUGACACAUUUUAUUAUCCAUUUAUCCAUUCAUCCAUUGAUGGAUACCUAAGUUGGCUCUGUCAUAGCUCUUGUGGACAGUGGUGCAGUGAAUGUGAAUUCCUCCAGACAUACAGAUUAUAUUUCCGCUGGCUGUGUAUCAGAAGUAUGAUCACUGGUCAUUUGGUAGCUCUAUUUCAAGGUUAUUUUUUUUUAAGGCACUUCAUACUGCUUCCCACACAGUUAUACUAACCUAUAUUCUUACCAGCCAUGUCUGAGCAUCCCCCUUCUCUUCAUCCUAAUCAGGGCUUGCUGUUUUUGUCUUGGAAAAGGUCAUUCUGGCUAGGUGAAGUGGUGCUUCACUACAGCUGUCAUUGUAAUGUCUCCAGUAGAUUGCGAUGUGAUCACGUUCCUGAGCUUCUUGCCACUGGGUGCCUUCUGUGUCUUUCACCCAUUUGCAGACUAGAGUACGUGCCUUUUGUGAGUUGUUGCUUUGGGAUCUGAAUAUCCAUUCCUUAUUAGGUGGAUGGUUUGCUAUUGUUUUACAAAUUCUGUUGGCUUUCUCUGUAUUCCGACGAGGAUUUUCUUUGCUGUACAGGUGACUUGGUUAAAUUUAAAUUUGCUCUUGCUUGCCUGUGCUUUAGGAUCAUGUCUGGAAAUAAAAACAAGAAGGUGUGCCUGGGAAGAACUGCCUGAAUUUUGACAAGCUAUCUAUCAAUUGUGGCACAUGAAAAAGGGGCAUAUUGAAUGGUUUUGUUUUUACACUAGGAGUACAGGCAGAGCGCUGAGACUCUGAGCUAGUCUGAUGUAGAGAGAAGCCUUGUGGCACUUGGAUAUCACCUGAAGAGUCUAUUCUAAAUCAACAGCUAAGGUUAAAACUAAUUUGAAUUUCCAGUUGAUGCCUAGAGAAGCACAGAGUGGGUGCUUUUCUAGGUACCAAGGUAGGGGAGUAGAGAAAACCCCACCACCCUACCUGAUAACAUCUGUUAUCAGGAGCUUUGUGGGCAAUGGGUUUCAUAGGGAAUCAGAGCGCAAUGGCCUGUUGACCUCAGUAGCUACAUGAGUCAGAGACCAACAUCGUCUCAGGAAGAGACAGGUUAAAAAGACAAAGAACGUGUCCUAAGCUUACUUUGAAUUAAUAGGUCACUGGUCUGGGAAUCAAAGCAAGCCCUCCUACUCCAAUAUGAAAGAUUUUAAAAACUUAGUGUGCAUCUGGUAGGGAAUCAUGUACAGGGUUCCUUAAUCCUAGGCCCGGUAUUUGGAUGGCCUGUGGGAUUCCACAAUGGGCCUCACAGAAAGGCAGGACCCACACAGAAGCAGGGCCUUGCUUCUUAGUGUCAUUUCUUAUUUACAUAAUCCGGGAUUGCACUUAUUCUCUGGAGGGGAAUCCCUGAGACCUUUACACGUUAUAUAUUUCAGAGCAGAAGGCUUCUGGAUUAAGUAAAAUAAUUUUACAACCUUGAUAUUUGCUUUAC
RNAcentral lists this long non-coding RNA (3269 nucleotides) under Mus musculus (house mouse). RNAcentral describes it as "long non-coding RNA chr11:64931636-64934905". The record is from RNAcentral. Lineage: Eukaryota; Metazoa; Chordata; Mammalia; Rodentia; Muridae.